CACCUCUUCCCAUUCCGAACAGAGAAGUUAAGCCCAACCACGUCGAUGGUACUGCGUAAAAGUGGGAGAGUAGAUAGCCGCCGUUU
This 86-nucleotide ribosomal RNA is filed under the name Parabacteroides merdae. Lineage: Bacteria; Pseudomonadati; Bacteroidota; Bacteroidia; Bacteroidales; Tannerellaceae. RNAcentral also lists the same sequence under 2 other names. The record is from RNAcentral.